This is a transfer RNA of 83 nucleotides. It matches the Rfam family "tRNA". From Rfam's summary of the family: Transfer RNA (tRNA) molecules are approximately 80 nucleotides in length.
GCUGGAGUGGCCGAACCAGGUUAAGGCGCCAGAUAAAAGCUGGUGGUCGUAAGACCGUCGGGGUUCAAAUCCCCGCUCCAGCG